CAGGAGCAGCGACGGUGCCCGAGCAGGCAUGGGAAGCGGGCGGCACGGGCCCGCGCCGUUGGGUGGAGGAUGCGGGGGUGUCCCAGACUCGGGCGAGUCCUGGCCGCCGGCUGCCACAGGGCACGUGGCAGAGGACGGGCCGCCCCUGCAGGCAGAGCGGGCGGCCUGUGCGCGGGGCCCGAGGCCCCGACCUUGCUAUUUCUCACCUUUUCUACAUGACUCGCCACGUUCCUUUCUACGAAAGCUUUUCUGACGGGGGGUGGGGGGCACGUUUCUCAGGCCGCUUCUCCACCCCGGGUCUCGCUGCGCUCGGAUGUCAGCAGCGGCUCCCAGCGGACCCAAGCAGCGAGCAGAGCUGCAUCUGAGGCGAGCAGCUCCCCGGGGCCCCCCACGCCCCCCACUCGCCCUGGGGCCCCGGCCUCUAGUCCGCCCGGCCUCCCUCCGAGCGCAUCUCACAAGCGUUACCCCCGUUCCUCAGUCAGAAGCACCGGACGCCACCGGGGGACAGGCCACGGCGGGGGUGCGCCGUGUGAGUGGAAAGGACAUUGGCAGGGGCGCGCCAUGGCAGCCGGGCAGACUCCAGUUCUGAGGGCCUGAAGGCAAGGCGGGGCGGGCCACCCUGAAGGGGGUGUUGGGGGCACCAGGGGCUCUGUGACACCUGAGAGGAGGCAGGAGGUCCCCGGACAGAGGCGGGUGCUGCUGGCAAGGCUGGGCGGGAAGCAGCCCCACACCGGGGGCGGGGGGGGGGGGCGGUCCAGGACGACUGCAUCUCCCGGCCGGGCUCCUCUUGUCCGCUAGUCCCUAUUUCCCCAGCUCCGGGUGACGCACCCCCCACGGGCUGUGUGCAAGGCAGAGACUGUCCUAGACCCUGCCUCCUGGCCGUGGGGGCAGCGAAGGAAUUCCGGGAGCUGCCUUGUGAGGGCAGAGGGACCUCAGCACCCGUGUCUCCCCCUCCACUACCUGCACAAGCCUCCCACCGGAAACAGCACCCCCUGAGAACUGCGGGUGCUGGGCUCAGGACCCCGUUUGCGAGGUAGCACAGGUCUUCCCGCUGGGGUGUGUCAACGACGGCAGUGGCUGAGCAGGUGGUCACUCACCUCCCGGGGCCACGGGUGUGCCCGCAUGCCCCCCAUGUCCCCGGGGAACCACCUACGCAUUCCUCGGAGCACUGGGGUCUGGACGUGGCUUAUAAACGUGGACACAACUUGUGAA
Molecule: long non-coding RNA, 1212 nt
Organism: Lutra lutra (Eurasian river otter)
Lineage: Eukaryota; Metazoa; Chordata; Mammalia; Carnivora; Mustelidae
Exons: 2
Source: RefSeq, a predicted model, not a curated record